AGAGUUUGAUCCUGGCUCAGAUUGAACGCUGGCGGAAUGCUUUACACAUGCAAGUCGAACGGCAGCACGGGUGCUUGCACCUGGUGGCGAGUGGCGAACGGGUGAGUAAUGCGUCGGAACGUACCGAGUAAUGGGGGAUAACGCAGCGAAAGUUGUGCUAAUACCGCAUACGCCCUGAGGGGGAAAGUGGGGGACCGCAAGGCCUCACGUUAUUCGAGCGGCCGACGUCUGAUUAGCUAGUUGGUGGGGUAAAGGCCUACCAAGGCGACGAUCAGUAGCGGGUCUGAGAGGAUGAUCCGCCACACUGGGACUGAGACACGGCCCAGACUCCUACGGGAGGCAGCAGUGGGGAAUUUUGGACAAUGGGUGCAAGCCUGAUCCAGCCAUGCCGCGUGCAGGAAGAAAGCCUUCUGGGUUGUAAACUGCUUU
This 429-nucleotide ribosomal RNA is filed under the name uncultured bacterium. Its description in RNAcentral is "bacterial SSU rRNA". It matches the Rfam family "Bacterial small subunit ribosomal RNA", at positions 8 to 436 of the family's 1533-position model. The record is from RNAcentral.